This 575-nucleotide ribosomal RNA is filed under the name uncultured bacterium. RNAcentral's name for it is "bacterial SSU rRNA". It matches the Rfam family "Bacterial small subunit ribosomal RNA", at positions 102 to 674 of the family's 1533-position model. The record is from RNAcentral.
ACGGGUGAGUAACGCGUGAAUUAUCUGCCCUUUAGUGGAGAAUACCUUCGAGAAAUCGGAGUUAAUACUGCAUAAGCUCCUUCGGGAGGAAAGAUGGCCUCUUUGCUGUCGCUAAAGGAUGAGUUUGCGUACUAUUAGCUAGUUGGUGGGGUAAAGGCCUACCAAGGCGAGGAUGGUUAGCCGGCCUGAGAGGGUGAACGGCCACAUUGGAACUUAGACACGGUCCAGACUCCUACGGGAGGCAGCAGUGAGGAAUAUUGCGCAAUGGGCGAAAGCCUGACGCAGCGACGCCGCGUGGAGGAUGAAGGCCUUCGGGUUGUAAACUUCUGUUAAGUGGGAAAAAAUGUCCAGGGUUAAUACCCCUGGAAGAUGAUUGUACUACUAGAGAAAGCACUGGCUAAUCUCGUGCCAGCAGCCGCGGUAAUACGAGAGGUGCAAGCGUUAUUCGGAAUCAUUGGGCGUAAAGGGUGCGCAGGCGGCAUUUUAAGUCAACCGUUUAAUUCCUCGGCUUAACUGAGGGUCAGCGGUAGAUACUGGAAUGCUUGAGUGUGGAAGAGGGAAGUGGAAUUCUCGGA